CGACAGCAAUAUGAAGGUCAGGCUGAAGACCUUACCCGAUUAGCUGAGAGGUGGUGCAUGGCCGUCGUCAGUUCGUACUGUGAAGCAUCCUGUUAAGUCAGGCAACGAGCGAGACCCACGUCCACAGUUGCCAGCAUACCCUCCGGGGUGAUGGGUACACUGUGGAGACCGCCGCUGCUAAAGCGGAGGAAGGAGUGGGCAACGGUAGGUCAGUAUGCCCCGAAUCUCCCGGGCUACACGCGGGCUACAAUGGUUGGUACAAUGGGCAUCUACCCCGAAAGGGGAAGGAAAUCUCUUAAAGCCAAUCGUAGUUCGGAUUGAGGGCUGCAACUCGCCCUCAUGAAGCUGGAAUCCGUAGUAAUCGCGUUUCAACAGAACGCGGUGAAUACGUCCCUGCUCCUC
Molecule: ribosomal RNA, 402 nt
Filed under: uncultured Methanosaeta sp.
Lineage: Archaea; Methanobacteriati; Methanobacteriota; Methanomicrobia; Methanotrichales; Methanotrichaceae
Description: bacterial SSU rRNA
Rfam family: Archaeal small subunit ribosomal RNA
Source: RNAcentral